RNAcentral lists this unclassified non-coding RNA (341 nucleotides) under soil metagenome. RNAcentral's name for it is "partial contains 5.8S ribosomal RNA, internal transcribed spacer 2, and large subunit ribosomal RNA". The stretch from base 1 to 120 matches the Rfam family "5.8S ribosomal RNA", at positions 35 to 154 of the family's 154-position model. The record is from RNAcentral.
GAUGAAGAACGCAGUGAAAUGCGAUACGUAAUGUGAAUUGCAGAAUUCAGUGAAUCAUCGAGUCUUUGAACGCACAUUGCGCCCCCUGGUAUUCCGGGGGGCAUGCCUGUCCGAGCGUCAUUGCUGCCCUCAAGCACGGCUUGUGUGUUGGGCUCCGUCCCCCCGGGGACGGGUCCGAAAGGCAGCGGCGGCACCGAGUCCGGUCCUCGAGCGUAUGGGGCUUUGUCACCCGCUCUGUAGGCCCGGCCGGCGCCAGCCGACAACCAAUCAUCCUUUUUUCAGGUUGACCUCGGAUCAGGUAGGGAUACCCGCUGAACUUAAGCAUAUCAAUAAGCGGAGGA